AAUGAACGCUGGCGGCGCGCCUAAUACAUGCAAGUCGAGCGAGAAGACGUAGCAAUACGUUUGUAAAGCGGCGAACGGGUGAGGAAUACAUGGGUAACCUACCCUAGAGUGGGGAAUAACUAGCCGAAAGGUUAGCUAAUACCGCGUACGCUCCUUGGACUUCGGUUCAGGGAGGAAAGCGAUACCGAGGGUAUCGCGCUCUUGGAUGGGCUCAUGUCCUAUCAGCUUGUUGGUGAGGUAACGGCUCACCAAGGCUUCGACGGGUAGCUGGUCUGAGAGGACGAUCAGCCACACUGGCACUGCGACACGGGCCAGACUCCUACGGGAGGCAGCAGUAAGGAAUAUUGCGCAAUGGGCGAAAGCCUGACGCAGCGACGCCGCGUGGGGGAUGAAGGUCUUCGGAUUGUAACCCCUUUCGGGAGGGAAGAUGGAACGAGCAAUCGUUCGGACGGUACCCAGAAGCAGCCACGGCUAACUUCGUGCCA
This 485-nucleotide ribosomal RNA is filed under the name uncultured bacterium. RNAcentral's name for it is "bacterial SSU rRNA". It matches the Rfam family "Bacterial small subunit ribosomal RNA", at positions 29 to 510 of the family's 1533-position model. The record is from RNAcentral.